CCCGUGCCAGGGGUGUGGGUACAGAGCCUCACUGCCCCGUGCCGGGAUGUAGGUACAGAGCCUCACUUCCCCGUGCCAGGGGUGUGGGUACAGAGCCUCACUGCCCCGUGCCAGGGGUGUGGGUACAGAGCCUCACUGCCCCGUGCCGGGGUGUGGGUACAGAGCCUCACUGCCCCGUGCCGGGAUGUGGCCUUGGCUCUGUGCUUGGCUAGGUGCUCCGUGGCCAGGAGUGCUGUCCUGAGGUGACUGUGGACUUAGGGCCUUUCCUGGUAAGGUGGCACUGGCUAUCCUUGUCCCGGGGUCCCCUUACUUCUGCCUCCUGUGUCCUGCAUUUUGCCCAACCUGUUGUGGCUGCCCCUUUGCCCAGAGGCCCCUACAGCCCCGUGUUGGCUGCCCUCAGAGUGGCACCCAACUGACCAUCACACUCACAGAAAACCCUGCCUCUGCCCUUCUGGACCAGGCCCCAUCCACAGGAUGCGCUGGGGAUCUGGAUGUGGCCCUGCGCCCGCAUUCCCACGAGGACUUCCGCAGCUCAGCCGGCCGCAGAUCCGGACCUCCGGCGCGGGCCGGCACACACAAAGGCAAGCUCUGUCGAGGGUGCAUAAUGGGCUGCCCUUUCAUCGGCGCUGCUAACCUUUUGGCAGCCACCAGCAGACUGCAUUCUGCCGGGCUGUUCGAGAAGGACAA
Long non-coding RNA from Ochotona curzoniae (black-lipped pika), 687 nucleotides. RefSeq lists it as uncharacterized. The transcript is spliced from 2 exons. The record is from RefSeq and is a predicted model, not a curated record. Lineage: Eukaryota; Metazoa; Chordata; Mammalia; Lagomorpha; Ochotonidae.